UUCAUGUCUCUGUAGCUCCAGCUGAAGCAAGCUCUUCUCGUGCUUUAGUCGAUUAAUUUUCUCUUCAUAUUCCCUUUUCUCUGUUUCUGUCAUUGGGGAGUUAUUAACUUGGUUCUGCAUUGAAUGGCUAUGGAUCGGCUUUCGCCGGCGAAUAUUACUUAGAAGAUGUCUCUGUCCUCUUAUAAAUUCUUCAUUAGCAAACUCCCAUUGAUCAGGAUCAAUCUUCCUGAAUCCAUAAGUAUUAAGCUGCCUGACAAAACUUGAGAAAUUAUUGUGCUUGAAGUACUUGGGAAGCAAAUCUUGAGCGAAUUCAGGUGGAUUCCACACAACAAAACUGCAGCCACUCUGACUCCAUGACACCACUGAGUUGGUCAACGGAUCAUCUAUCAUCUCAUAUGUUUUGAUCAGAAAAGGCGCUGGUGCAUUGGAACUACUACCCUGUGAACUAUCCAUGCCUUUCUUUUUUCCUGUCAAAACUUAAUACCCCAAAUCUGUUUCUGUACGCCAAGAAACUCUGUUCUUGUACACCAGAAAAGUUCCCUCUGAUGGAAAGAUCAUUUACUGUAGAUACUACCCAAGUGAAACCCAGUAUUAAGAAGGGGAUCAGAAUCUCAGGACAACUGGGUACGGCCAAAUUUAAUCAGAAAUGAUUAUGGGUUUGGACUACUGAAAAUAAAUAACUUACAAAAUGAAAAACUAAUAGCAAUUGCAGAUUAGGAACUGGAGAAUGGAAAAUUUAUUUUGAGGGAAAUUUUGACCAAUGAAACUGCAGAACUU
RNAcentral lists this unclassified non-coding RNA (777 nucleotides) under Hevea brasiliensis (rubber tree). The record is from RNAcentral. Lineage: Eukaryota; Viridiplantae; Streptophyta; Magnoliopsida; Malpighiales; Euphorbiaceae.